AUCCAAAAUUGGAUAUGUUCUAGCCUAGGCAAUUCUUGAAUUCAUAUCUUGUAACACAUCUAGAUUUAAAUGGUGCUUUGGUUCACAACAUUCAAACCACAGAACAUAAAGUCGUUCCUCAAUACAAGUUGCCUAUAGCAAACAGCAUUCUAAUAUGUAUGAUUUAAUUAAAAUCCUCUGCAAAGUACAUAUGGCUGUAUACAAUAUUUUUG
RNAcentral lists this unclassified non-coding RNA (212 nucleotides) under Hevea brasiliensis (rubber tree). The record is from RNAcentral. Lineage: Eukaryota; Viridiplantae; Streptophyta; Magnoliopsida; Malpighiales; Euphorbiaceae.